GACGAACGCUGGCGGUGUGCUUAACACAUGCAAGUCAAGGAGAACUUUAUCUUCGGAUAAAUAUUAAACUGGCGAACGGGUGAGUAACGCGUAAAUAACUUGCCUCAGAGAUUGGGAUAACAUUGGGAAACCAUUGCUAAUACCAAAUAAUGCAGCGGGCCCUUCGGGGCAUUUGUUGUUAAAGUAGGCUUCGGCUUACACUUUGAGAUAGGUUUGCGUCCGAUUAGUUUGUUGGUAGGGUAAUUGCCUACCAAGGCGAAGAUCGGUAGCUGGUCUGAGAGGAUGAUCAGCCACACUGGAAUUGAGAUACGGUCCAGACUCCUACGGGAGGCAGCAGUGAGGAAUUUUGCACAAUGGGCGAAAGCCUGAUGCAGCAACACCGCGUGAUUGACGAAGUUUUUAGGAAUGUAAAAAUCUGUCGUAAGGGAAGAAAUGUUU
RNAcentral lists this ribosomal RNA (438 nucleotides) under uncultured bacterium. RNAcentral's name for it is "bacterial SSU rRNA". It matches the Rfam family "Bacterial small subunit ribosomal RNA", at positions 28 to 455 of the family's 1533-position model. The record is from RNAcentral.